AAUAAUUUUUUUAUGGAUUAAAAAUUUAUUAAAAAUUUAUUUUACAUAUAAAUUUUAGUUUAUUUAAAUUAUUUAAAAAAUAAUUUAUUAAAAAUGUAGUAAUUAAUAUUGAAUAUUUAAGGAAUUAAGAUUUAGUAAUAUGAUAUAAUUAAUAACAAAUUUUGUGCCAGCAGUUGCGGUUAAACAAAAAUUAAAUUAAAUUUUAUUAGUUAAUUAAAUAAUAAGUAAAAUUAUAUAAUUAAAAAAUUAAAUUAUUAAGUGAAAUUUUAAUUUAAUAAAAUAUUAUAAAAUUUUUAUGUUUUAAUAAAUUUUUUUUAAGACUAGGAUUAGAUACCCUAUUAUGAAAAUUUUAAAUUUUAAUACUAAAAUAGUAGAUUAUAAAUAUUGAAACUUAAAUAAUUUGGCGGUAUUUUAGUUCAUUUAGAGGAAUCUGUUUAUUAAUUGAUAAUCCACGAAUAAAUUUACUUAAUUUUUAAUUUUGUAUAUCGUUGUUAAAAAAAUAUUUUAUAAUAAAAAUAAUAUUUAAAAAUUAUAAAUAAAAUUAAAUCAGAUCAAGAUGCAGAUUAUAAUUAAGAAUAUAAUGGAUUACAAUAAAUUUAUUUAAAUGAAUAUUAAUAUGAAAUUUUUAAUUGAAAUUGGAUUUAAAUGUAAUUUUUUUUUUAUUUUAUAAAAAUGAUUAUAAAUUAAAAUAUGUACAUAUUGCCCGUCGCUUUCAUAUAAAUGUUUAAAUUGAAAUAAGUCGUAACAAAGUAGAGGUACUGGAAAGUGUUUCUAGAAAGAU
RNAcentral lists this non-coding RNA (781 nucleotides) under Lacanobia aliena. The record is from RNAcentral. Lineage: Eukaryota; Metazoa; Arthropoda; Insecta; Lepidoptera; Noctuidae. RNAcentral also lists the same sequence under 1 other name.